UACGUAGGGGGCAAGCGUUGUCCGGAAUCAUUGGGCGUAAAGAGCGUGUAGGCGGCCCGAGUAAGUCCGCUGUGAAAGUCCAGGGCUCAACCCUGGAAUGCCGGUGGAUACUGUCGGGCUCGAAUCCGGAAGAGGUGAGUGGAAUUCCUGGUGAUAGCGGUGAAAUGCGCAGAUAUCAGGAGGAACACCAAUGGCGAAGGCAGCUCCACUGGGACGGUAUUGACGCUGAGACGCGAAAGCGUGGGGAGCGAACAGG
Molecule: ribosomal RNA, 256 nt
Filed under: uncultured bacterium
Lineage: Bacteria
Description: partial 16S ribosomal RNA
Rfam family: Bacterial small subunit ribosomal RNA
Source: RNAcentral